Molecule: ribosomal RNA, 484 nt
Filed under: uncultured bacterium
Lineage: Bacteria
Description: partial 16S ribosomal RNA
Rfam family: Bacterial small subunit ribosomal RNA
Source: RNAcentral
AUUGAACGCUGGCGGCAGGCGUAACACAUGCAAGUCGAGCGGAUGAAGGGAGCUUGCUCCUGGAUUCAGCGGCGGACGGGUGAGUAAUGCCUAGGAAUCUGCCUGGUAGUGGGGGAUAACGUCCGGAAACGGGCGCUAAUACCGCAUACGUCCUGAGGGAGAAAGUGGGGGAUCUUCGGACCUUACGCUAUCAGAUGAGCCUAGGUCGGAUUAGCUAGUUGGUGGGGUAAAGGCCUACCAAGGCGACGAUCCGUAACUGGUCUGAGAGGAUGAUCAGUCACACUGGAACUGAGACACGGUCCAGACUCCUACGGGAGGCAGCAGUGGGGAAUAUUGGACAAUGGGCGAAAGCCUGAUCCAGCCAUGCCGCGUGUGUGAAGAAGGUCUUCGGAUUGUAAAGCACUUUAAGUUGGGAGGAAGGGCAGUAAGUUAAUACCUUGCUGUUUUGACGUUACCAACAGAAUAAGCACCGGCUAACUUCGUG